GAUGAAGAACGCAGCGAAAUGCGAUAAGUAAUGUGAAUUGCAGAAUUCAGUGAAUCAUCGAAUCUUUGAACGCACAUUGCGCCCCCCAGUAUUCUGGCGGGCAUGCCUGUUCGAGCGUCAUUUCAACCAUCAAGCCCUGCUUGUGUUGGGGUCCUGCGGCUGCCCGCAGGCCCUGAAAACCAGUGGCGGGCUCGCUAGUCACACCGAGCGCAGUUGAACAUCUCGCUCAGGGCGUGCGGCGGGCUCCAGCCGUUAAAGCACCCACCUUUCGCAAGGUUGACCUCGGAUCAGGUAGGAAUACCCGCUGAACUUAAGCAUAUCAAUAAGCGGAGGA
Molecule: unclassified non-coding RNA, 334 nt
Filed under: soil metagenome
Description: partial contains 5.8S ribosomal RNA, internal transcribed spacer 2, and large subunit ribosomal RNA
Rfam family: 5.8S ribosomal RNA (bases 1-120)
Source: RNAcentral